UCCUACGGGGCGCAGCAGUGGGGAAUAUUGCACAAUGGGGGAAACCCUGAUGCAGCGACGCCGCGUGAGUGAAGAAGUAUUUCGGUAUGUAAAGCUCUAUCAGCAGGGAAGAAAAUGACGGUACCUGACUAAGAAGCCCCGGCUAACUACGUGCCAGCAGCCGCGGUAAUACGUAGGGGGCAAGCAUUAUCCGGAUUUACUGGGUGUAAAGGGAGCGUAGACGGCAGCGCAAGUAUGAAGUAAAA
Molecule: ribosomal RNA, 245 nt
Filed under: uncultured bacterium
Lineage: Bacteria
Description: partial 16S ribosomal RNA
Rfam family: Bacterial small subunit ribosomal RNA
Source: RNAcentral